UUAUGGCUCAGGAUGAACGCUAGCUACAGGCUUAACACAUGCAAGUCGAGGGGCAGCAUGGUCUUAGCUUGCUAAGAUUGAUGGCGACCGGCGCACGGGUGAGUAACGCGUAUCCAACCUUCCCUAUAGUAGGGGAUAGCCCGUAGAAAUGCGGAUUAAUACCCUAUGUUGUAUUUUGAGGACAUCUGACGAAUACCAAAGGUUUACCGCUAUAGGAUGGGGAUGCGUCUGAUUAGGUUGUUGGCGGGUAACGGCCACCAAGCCUACGAUCAGUAGGGGUUCUGAGAGGAAGGUCCCCCACAUUGGAACUGAGACACGGUCCAAACUCCUACGGGAGGCAGCAGUGAGGAAUAUUGGUCAAUGGGCGAGAGCCUGAACCAGCCAAGUAGCGUGCAGGAUGACGGCCCUAUGGGUUGUAAACUGCUUUUAUGCGGGGAUAAAGUGAGGGACGUGUCCCUUAUUGUAGGUACCGCAUGAAUAAGGACCGGCUAAUUCCGUGCCAGCAGCCGC
RNAcentral lists this ribosomal RNA (510 nucleotides) under uncultured bacterium. RNAcentral describes it as "bacterial SSU rRNA". It matches the Rfam family "Bacterial small subunit ribosomal RNA", at positions 17 to 518 of the family's 1533-position model. The record is from RNAcentral.